CAGGUGACUUCGCUAACAAAUAUCGCGGAUGAAGUAAACGUGCAGGAUCUUUGCUAAAUGUCCCCUAAGCUGCAAUUCAAGAUAUGACAACAUUAUUUGUUUAUUGAAGGAAAACUGAUUGGUGAAUAAAACGUUUGCAGUGUGUAAAAUCGCACUUAACCAGCCUGCGGACAUUGCACAUGUAUAAGGACAGAAUUGACAUAGAGUUAUCAUGUCCGCCUGUGAAAUAACGUUAGGCUACGUCAUUAGAGCUAGCUGGUUAGCUAGCGCAGCUAACGGUACUAGUUUGCAAACCUGUUUGAUCUUGCUUUUCGAGAAAACAUUACGGACUAAAUCCUUCCUUUCGUCUAUUGGAAACAGUAGAAGAUGCUGAGUUGUGAAACACUGAAAUAAACAUCUUGAGCCACCAGUUCUGCAGUAACAAGUCAAUCAGCAAAAGACAGGAAGAGGUGAAAACCGGACGGCUGUGUACAUGGACCAGCUGUUGGACAGAGAGGAGCACCAGAGUUUGAUGGGCCAUCCAAGACGCCGGUUGACAUUUUGUCCCCAGUCCGACCGGAUGUCACAUAAAAAAUUCACUCAGGCGAGAAGCUGGCAGGAAUACCCAGCUCCCCCCUCUCACAGUGUCUGCCUCUCGGUGGGGAGUGCAAGGGCAAUGAGAGAAGAUAGAUGUAACUGUGGAGGACAAAUGGGGAAGAACCAUGAGAGGG
Molecule: long non-coding RNA, 710 nt
Organism: Monopterus albus (swamp eel)
Lineage: Eukaryota; Metazoa; Chordata; Actinopteri; Synbranchiformes; Synbranchidae
Exons: 3
Source: RefSeq, a predicted model, not a curated record